This is a long non-coding RNA of Erigeron canadensis, 848 nucleotides long. RefSeq lists it as uncharacterized. The record is from RefSeq and is a predicted model, not a curated record. The transcript is spliced from 2 exons. NCBI's taxonomy places the organism in Eukaryota, Viridiplantae, Streptophyta, Magnoliopsida, Asterales, Asteraceae.
UUCCUAUUUUAUUUCCAAAUCCCCGCCGUCUCCAAAUUAAUGAAGUAGUUUCUGCUAAACCCUAGCCGGCGCACGAUGAAAUUUCCCCUUGAGAAACAUUCACUUAGCAAUCAAUCUGUGGUGUUGAACUUUUGUUGACGAAUGGGAGAAAAAUUCCGUUGAAAGAAAGAAGUGGAAGUAGCUAGAUCAUUGUUUACGAAUGAAAUUCACUUCUGGUGGCUGGAGAUGGAUGAGUAAAAAGUAGAUUGCAUCUUGAUUGAAUGGAGAGCCUCUGUACUGGUGACAAAAAGCCGGAGACUAGACAAGUUUAAAUCAAGAGGUUGCAUAAAUACAAGGUCAGAGAAAUUAUGUUCAUUUUUGUUUUGUUUCAAGUGCAAUCUUUUAUUGUUCCUAUAUCAUAAUCGGAACUAUUCCUCAAAGACUUUGCUCUCAUUGUCUAUUUCGUUGAUCGAUGUCAAUGGACCAAGAAAUCUGUCCUUUGCUGAAAGCUCAUAGGGUAAGAAGAAUUGAAAGGUAGGUUUUGUCAGUGAUUAAAUGGAAAGGUCAACACGAGCGAAAACCAAUCAAACUCAAAAAGAUAGGCAGAUCGAGCGCGCUGAGGGAAAUUCCAGAGAUCCGGAGACAUGUUAUCUAACAACUUUAACUUCACACAAAACUUUCUGUUUCUAAUUAGUAAUAAUACGUGUAACCGGGGUAAACAAACAUUGUACUUGGAGUGUCGGUAUGACGGUGGCAAUUUUACUCAAAAUUGCCAAAAGUCAAAACAUAAACAUGUACACACAGGGUCAAAAUUUUUAACAAAGAAAAUAGCUGUCGAGGAAUGAAAGAGGAGUUAACCAGUUUGUAAA